RNAcentral lists this ribosomal RNA (464 nucleotides) under uncultured bacterium. Its description in RNAcentral is "partial 16S ribosomal RNA". It matches the Rfam family "Bacterial small subunit ribosomal RNA", at positions 28 to 507 of the family's 1533-position model. The record is from RNAcentral.
GACGAACGCUGGCGGCGUGCUUAACACAUGCAAGUCGAACGGUAAGGCCCCUUCGGGGUUACACUAGUGGCGAACGGUUGCGUAACACUUAAGCAACCUGCCCUUUACUUUUUGAUACCAGCUGUAAACAGCUGCUAAUACCGGAUAUGACCUCUUCUCUCAUGGGUUGAGGUGGAAAGCUCCUGCGGUCAGGGAUGGGCUCGUGGCCUAUCAGCUUGUUGGUGAGGUAAUGGCGCACCAAGGCUUCGACGGGUAGCCGGCCUGAGAGGGCGACCGGCCACAAUGCGACUGAGAUACGGCCCAGACUCCUACGGGAGGCAGCAGUGGGGAAUAUUGCACAGUGGGCGCAAGCCUGAUGCAGCAGCGCCGCGUGCGGGAUGACGGCCUUCGGGUUGUAAACCGCUUUCAGUAGGGACGAAGCUAACGUGACGGUACCUACAGAAGAAGGACCGGCUAACUACGUG